CACAAACACAGAAACAGGCACAACUGCUCCUUCAGGGCAUUUUCUCAUUCCCUGACUGGACUUUGGGCAGGCUCAGUUACUGUGAACCAGCACAGUGCGAGUUCAGGUAUGAACAGCGCCAAAGUCUCAUUCGUCAGAUAUGUGGGUGUGGAAACUACAAAGCGGUCAAAGGUCCCUUUUAAGUAAAGAAACCAGGAUGUGCACGCUGGAGUAGAAACCAGGUCACCGUUGCAUGUUUAUACAGAACAUCUUCGGAAUCCAAACACCUGCACAGGCUCAGCUACAGUCCAAGCGAUGGAAUGGCUGGAUCUCUAUUGAAGCGAUGAAGAAGUUUAAGGACAUUUUACUUUCGAUAAUGAAAGAUUUGAAUGUAAUUGGUCAUUUAGGAGAAAGAUUGCUGACCCAUUCAAACCUGGAGUGAAGAGGUCACAUGAAUCCUAACACAAGUCUGGUAUUUUCCCAACAUUUAUACACACAGUUCAUAUCUAAACACUAUACCACACAUAAUACUGUCUGCUACAAACCGUGCUGUGUGAAGUGGCUUCUCAAUAGCAACAGCCGAAUGCAUUAAAAGUUAAAGAUUGCGGGAAUGUCAAUUGAACAACGGGCACCUGUGUAAAUAGCAUGAAGUAAUCAGUGAUCAGUAAGUAAUCCAUAAGGUUCAGAGUGACACCUCUCAACCUCUCUGCCUUGUGAAAAGCCCCCAGCUGAUGGGAGGAAGGACUCCAUAUUUAUUAACUACACGUAUAUAAAGUUUCCUCUGUAUAAGAUCAUAAAACUAUACUGUGUAGUUUUUUUUCCUCCUCUACAUGAGUUUCAAAGCGUCUGCAGGGCUGUUCCCUCGUGGCUAAAGACCGGUCACCGACUGUGAGCGCUCUUUAAAUCUACAACGUCUAUGAAUUUAAAACAUAUUCAAUGCUGUGGGAGAAGCUGAACCCGCGAGAGGGAACGACAGAACCACACAGUGAGACGGCAG
Molecule: long non-coding RNA, 976 nt
Organism: Pleuronectes platessa (European plaice)
Lineage: Eukaryota; Metazoa; Chordata; Actinopteri; Pleuronectiformes; Pleuronectidae
Exons: 3
Source: RefSeq, a predicted model, not a curated record